Molecule: ribosomal RNA, 524 nt
Filed under: uncultured bacterium
Lineage: Bacteria
Description: partial 16S ribosomal RNA
Rfam family: Bacterial small subunit ribosomal RNA
Source: RNAcentral
UGGGGAAUAUUGCACAAUGGGCGAAAGCCUGAUGCAGCAACGCCGCGUGAGUGAUGAAGGCCUUCGGGUUGUAAAGCUCUGUCUUUUGGGACGAUAAUGACGGUACCAAAGGAGGAAGCCACGGCUAACUACGUGCCAGCAGCCGCGGUAAUACGUAGGUGGCAAGCGUUGUCCGGAUUUACUGGGCGUAAAGGAUGCGUAGGCGGAUUUUUAAGUGAGAUGUGAAAACCCUAAGCUUAACUUGGGGACUGCAUUUCAUACUGGAAAUCUAGAGUGCGGGAGAGGAGAAUGGAAUUCCUAGUGUAGCGGUGAAAUGCGUAGAGAUUAGGAAGAACACCAGUGGCGAAGGCGAUUCUCUGGACCGUAACUGACGCUGAGGCAUGAAAGCGUGGGUAGCAAACAGGAUUAGAUACCCUGGUAGUCCACGCCGUAAACGAUGAGUACUAGGUGUAGGAGGUAUCGACCCCUUCUGUGCCGCAGUUAACACAAUAAGUACUCCGCCUAGGAAGUACGAUCGCAAGAUU